RNAcentral lists this ribosomal RNA (458 nucleotides) under uncultured microorganism. RNAcentral's name for it is "bacterial SSU rRNA". It matches the Rfam family "Bacterial small subunit ribosomal RNA", at positions 346 to 794 of the family's 1533-position model. The record is from RNAcentral.
GUGCAGCAGUCGCGAAUAGUCUACAAUGGACGAAAGUCUGAUAGUGCGACGCCGUGUGUGCGAUUAAUUCCUUCGGGAUGUAAAGCACUUUUCUAUGAGAUAAAAGCUCUUUAGGUUAAUAGCUUAUUGAGACGGAUAUUAUUAUAGGAAUAAGCUCCGGCUAACUCCGUGCCAGCAGCCGCGGUAAUACGGAAGGAGCGAGCGUUGUCCGGAUUUACUAGGCGUAAAGGGCUAGUAGGCGACUAAUUAAGUUAUAUGUUAAAUCCCACGGCUCAACUGUGGUCCUGCAUGUAAUACUGGUUAGAUAGAGUACUGUAGAGGAAGGCAGAAUUCCUGGAGUAGCGGUGGAAUGCGCAGAUAUCAGGAAGAAUACCAAAAGCGAAGGCAGCCUUCUGGGCAGUUACUGACGCUGAAUAGCGAAGGUGUGGGUAGCGAACAGGAUUAGAUACCCCCGUAGU